RNAcentral lists this ribosomal RNA (440 nucleotides) under uncultured bacterium. RNAcentral describes it as "partial 16S ribosomal RNA". It matches the Rfam family "Bacterial small subunit ribosomal RNA", at positions 338 to 795 of the family's 1533-position model. The record is from RNAcentral.
CCUACGGGUGGCAGCAGUAGGGAAUAUUGCUCAAUGGGGGAAACCCUGAUGCAGCAACGCCGCGUGGAGGAUGAAGGUUUUAGGAUUGUAAACUCCUUUUGUGAGAGAAGAUAAUGACGGUAUUUCUCGCCUAAUCACCUGCUGACUCCGUGCCAGCAGCCGCGGUAAUCCGGCGGGCGCAAGCGUUACUCGGAAUCACUGGUCGUAAAGAGUGCGCAGGCGGGUUUGUAAGUCAGAUGUGAAAUCCUGUAGCUUAACUACCGAAGUGCAUUUGAGACUUUGAGUCGAGAGUGUUGGAGAGGUAGGUAGAAUUCUUGGUGUAGGGGUAAAAUGCGUAGAGAUGAAGAGGAAUACUCAUUGCGAAGGCGACCUACUGGAACAUUACUGACGCUCAGGCGCGAAAGCGUGGGGAGCAAACAGGAUUAGAUACCCGUGUAGUC